Molecule: ribosomal RNA, 483 nt
Filed under: uncultured bacterium
Lineage: Bacteria
Description: bacterial SSU rRNA
Rfam family: Bacterial small subunit ribosomal RNA
Source: RNAcentral
AUUGAACGCUGGCGGCAUGCCUUACACAUGCAAGUCGAACGGCAGCACGGGUGCUUGCACCUGGUGGCGAGUGGCGAACGGGUGAGUAAUACAUCGGAACGUACCUUAUCGUGGGGGAUAACGCAGCGAAAGCUGUGCUAAUACCGCAUACGCCCUGAGGGGGAAAGCGGGGGAUCGAAAGACCUCGCGCGAUUAGAGCGGCCGAUGCCUGAUUAGCUUGUUGGUGGGGUAAAAGCCCACCAAGGCGACGAUCAGUAGCUGGUCUGAGAGGACGACCAGCCACACUGGGACUGAGACACGGCCCAGACUCCUACGGGAGGCAGCAGUGGGGAAUUUUGGACAAUGGACGCAAGUCUGAUCCAGCAAUGCCGCGUGCAGGACGAAGGCCUUCGGGUUGUAAACUGCUUUUGUCAGGGAAGAAACAGCAGCUCUAACACAGUCUGCGAAUGACGGUACCUGAAGAAUAAGCACCGGCUAACUACG